Molecule: ribosomal RNA, 448 nt
Filed under: uncultured bacterium
Lineage: Bacteria
Description: bacterial SSU rRNA
Rfam family: Bacterial small subunit ribosomal RNA
Source: RNAcentral
UCGGGAAUUUUGGGCAAUGGGCGAAAGCCUGACCCAGCAACGCCGCGUGAAGGAUGAAGUAUUUCGGUAUGUAAACUUCGAAAGAAUAGGAAGAAUAAAUGACGGUACUAUUUAUAAGGUCCGGCUAACUACGUGCCAGCAGCCGCGGUAAUACGUAGGGACCAAGCGUUGUUCGGAUUUACUGGGCGUAAAGGGCGCGUAGGCGGCAAUUCAAGUCAUCUGUGAAAUCUCCGGGCUUAACUCGGAACGGUCAGAUGAUACUGCUUUGCUAGAGUGCAGAAGGGGCAAUCGGAAUUCUUGGUGUAGCGGUGAAAUGCGUAGAUAUCAAGAGGAACACCUGAGGUGAAGACGGGUUGCUGGGCUGACACUGACGCUGAGGCGCGAAAGCCAGGGGAGCAAACGGGAUUAGAUACCCCUAGUAGUCCCUGAGCGGGCUGGCAAGGCGCAU